AAAACAUUUGGAUCGUCGGUCUACCGAGCAAAAUAUCACACGCUUGGUGUAAAAUCUUCCCGCCGUCGU
RNAcentral lists this microRNA precursor (69 nucleotides) under Bombyx mori (domestic silkworm). RNAcentral's name for it is "mir-2774 microRNA precursor family". It matches the Rfam family "mir-2774 microRNA precursor family". Lineage: Eukaryota; Metazoa; Arthropoda; Insecta; Lepidoptera; Bombycidae. The record is from Rfam by way of RNAcentral.